RNAcentral lists this ribosomal RNA (656 nucleotides) under Huascaromusca sp. 1 MATM-2015. RNAcentral describes it as "partial large subunit ribosomal RNA". It matches the Rfam family "Bacterial large subunit ribosomal RNA", at positions 1796 to 2777 of the family's 2925-position model. Lineage: Eukaryota; Metazoa; Arthropoda; Insecta; Diptera; Calliphoridae. The record is from RNAcentral.
UCGCCUGUUUUAUCAAAAACAUGUCUUUUUGAAUUUUUUUAAAAGUUUAACCUGCCCACUGAGAUUUUAAAUGGCCGCAGUAUAUUAACUGUGCAAAGGUAGCAUAAUCAUUAGUCUUUUAAUUGAAGGCUGGUAUGAAUGGUUGGACGAAAUAUUAACUGUUUCAUAUAAAUUUAUAUUAUAAUUUUAUUUUUUAGUUAAAAAGCUAAAAUAUAUUUAAAAGACGAGAAGACCCUAUAAAUCUUUAUAUUUAGAUUAUUAUAAUUUUGAGGAUAAAUUUAUUUAUAAUAAUUAAUAAUAUUUUAUUGGGGUGAUAUUAAAAUUUAAAAAACUUUUAAUUUUAAAUUUCAUUAAUUUAUGAAUAAUUGAUCCGUUAUUAACGAUUAAAAAUUUAAGUUACUUUAGGGAUAACAGCGUAAUUUUUUUGGAGAGUUCUUAUUGAUAAAAAAGAUUGCGACCUCGAUGUUGGAUUAAGAUAUAAUUUUAGGUGUAGCAGCUUAAAUUUUGAGUCUGUUCGACUUUUAAAUUCUUACAUGAUCUGAGUUUAAACCGGUGUAAGCCAGGUUGGUUUCUAUCUUUAAAAAUUUAAAAUAUUUCAGUACGAAAGGACCUAAUAUUUAAUAAAUAAUUAUUUUUAUAUUGAAUAUCAUUAAUAU